GUUUCAUUCCAGGCUACACCCAAAAUAAGGCAGCUAGACGUCAUUUGGGAGCACUGGCUUCUCUGAUAUUAAUAAGCCUGCACCAGACACGGCGUUACUAGGGGUAACCUAAGAAGACCUGGAUAGUAUAUACAUAAGGACUCUGCAAAUGAAGAUGAAGGCAGAGGAGCAGUCUGAAAAAAUGGUGUCUGACAUAAAAGUGCAUAUGAAGCAGAAGUGUGGAAUUGAAUUCAUGAGUUCAUCCAUGAAGAAAAAACUUCACCCACUGACAUUCAUUGGUGCUUGCUGAACUUUUAUGGAAAUCUAACAGUAGAUGUUGGCACAACAAGAUGGUGAGUGAUGAGUUUCAGCAGGGGUAGCAGCAAUGUGAAGACAAGCCAUGUUCUGGAUGGUCAUGCUCAAUGGUCACACCACAAAAUGAAGAGCGUCUUGUUAAGUUCAUCUGCACAAAUCAGUGAUUUAUAACCAGGGAACUUUGUGCAGACUGCAGUGUGUUGGAAAUGAUGUUGGCAACACAGGAAAAUUGCAAAGUUUGUGCCAGGUGGGUCCCAUGAAUGCUCACACAGGAACAGAAAGAGCACCACUUGCAAGUUUGCCAGGAUCUAUUGAACCAAUAAGAGCUUGAAGGUGAUAGCUUUCUCAAUCACAUUAUUACUGGUGAUGAGAUGUGGUGUCACCACUACAAACCAGUAUCAAAAUGUCUAUGGAGUAGCAACAUGUGAAUUCCCUG
Gallus gallus (chicken) is the source of this 730-nucleotide long non-coding RNA. The record is from Ensembl. NCBI's taxonomy places the organism in Eukaryota, Metazoa, Chordata, Aves, Galliformes, Phasianidae.